AUGAUGACGCAAAGCAGCGCGGAUCCCGAGGGUGGCCGCUCCAUGCCCAUCCACCGGAGCAAGAAGACCCGCAAGCUGGCGGUGCUGGUGGUCCUCCAGAACCUGCUGGUGGCCGCGUGCCUGCUGACCACCAUCUACCAUUUCUAUUACCGGGAGGCUCCGGAGGUGUCUCAUGAUGCUGUAUACAUUCAGUUUGAAGGAGUCACCGGGCUCCACAGAAACGACACGGUGAAGUUCCGUGACAUUCGCGGGAGCCACAUGGUUGAGUGGAAAGAAAAAGACAAGAUCAGCAUCAAAUGUGCCGGCCCUUACAUUUGGCACAUGGAUGUGUGCUAUGAAAGCAUGGCAAAUGAACCCACAGGACCCACAGCAGCCACAGGAAUGCUUUAUCUGGAGGUGAAGCGGAGCGAAACACCUGCCAGCUCCUUCACGCUGAAUGCUACUCAAACUAUCUGCAGGGGGCUCCAGAGUGUUGUGUAUCUCAGGGAGAAGGAGGAGGCAAGUGUGCGUUUGUUGUGCUCCAAACAAUUCAGGAUCAUCAACAUGACCAUGGGUCUACAUUAUCUACUCGGGGAAAGAGACAUGAUUUGUUGAGAAGACUGACACUUGGACUUUGGGAUGAAGGUGCUCUUCUGUGAUGGCACACUGAGCCAGACUCACACUGAUGGCACGGCUGCUGAAGACAGACCGUUCUGCUCCAACUUUCGCUGAAUCUCAUACUUAGAAAACUGGUUGUGUGUGUCCAGUUCCAGGCAGGAACUAAUGAUUGCUGUUUACGGACGUAGACCUGAUCUCCUUUCUUUUAAUUGCAAAAUACAUAGAUAAGAGAACCAACAACGAUGUUCUUACUUUAAAACACGUGCCUCUGUUAUUUCCAAACACUUGUUUUUGUAUUGAACUACUCAAUUGCUGACUGUAACUUCAUCAGUCACACUGAAAGCUCAGGAUCAAACAGCAUUCUUAUGGCUGGACAGUACUCCAAAGGUUCUAUAGGUUUGUGGAAAAAGGUCCAUUGAGCUGGAACUAAAGACCUUUUAGUGUCAUUGCUCGAAAAUAACCUACAAGGGCCUGAUUUUAGGUUACUUUGUGUUUGUUGGACAUUGUCUUCAAUCCUAUAGGUACCCUGUUUAAGCUCAGGUCACUGACUGUUAAGAGGUUUUGAUGUGCUCCUCAGGUGCUUUUCUUGUUUUAACGGAGAAACUGAACACUUUGUAAUUUAUUUCAGCUCUCGGGUGAAACGGAAUGAAUGUAUUUGUUAUUGGUGCCUCAACGUAAUAGACCAGAGCUUUUCUCUGUUCUCUGUUUGCUCAACAGCUUGUUGCUGCUCCUAAUUCUCUUCAGCAGGUGCUGCUGCAGAUUCAGACAUGUCAGACAGGUUUGAUGUGUUGGAUUUUGCAAUCAGACGACGUGGAAUAAGGGGGCGGCUGUCUACAACCAGCUUUCCCCUUCUUUGAAUGUAUCCACGCCUUCUGUGCACUCCCUCUUCUUGUUUUGCUACAACAUGCUGACGUGUGACUUCCAGGGUCAGGUAGCAAAUGUCAGCUUUUCUGAUUGUAAACUGACGGUGCGAUAUGGUUUUGAAUGCUUAUGUGAAGUUCACAAUGCUGCACUGCAGACUUACUGACAGGUUUAAAGGGAUUUUAUUGACAUUAUUUAAUUUAUUUUAAGAUGUGUACCUAAUAAAGAUGGUGUUGGUGAAGCAGCA
Molecule: long non-coding RNA, 1705 nt
Filed under: Oryzias sinensis (Chinese medaka)
Lineage: Eukaryota; Metazoa; Chordata; Actinopteri; Beloniformes; Adrianichthyidae
Description: lncRNA (ENSOSIG00000006248.1)
Source: RNAcentral